GAUGAACGCUGGCGGCGUGCUUAACACAUGCAAGUCGAACGGAAAGGCCCCUUUGGGGGUACUCGAGUGGCGAACGGGUGAGUAACACGUGAGUAACCUGCCCUUGACUUCGGGAUAACUUCAGGAAACUGGGGCUAAUACCGGAUAGGAAUCCUUGCUGCAUGGUGGGGGUUGGAAAGCUUCGGCGGUUUUGGAUGGACUCGCGGCUUAUCAGCUUGUUGGUGGGGUAGUGGCUUACCAAGGCUUUGACGGGUAGCCGGCCUGAGAGGGCGACCGGCCACAGUGGGACUGAGAUACGGCCCAGACUCCUACGGGAGGCAGCAGUGGGGAAUAUUGCACAAUGGGCGGAAGCCUGAUGCAGCAACGCCGCGGGCGGGAGGACGGGCUUCGGGUUGGAAACCGCUUUCAGCAGGGGCGAAGCUUGUGGUGACGGUACCUGCAGAAGAAGCACCGGCUAACUACGUG
RNAcentral lists this ribosomal RNA (465 nucleotides) under uncultured bacterium. RNAcentral's name for it is "partial 16S ribosomal RNA". It matches the Rfam family "Bacterial small subunit ribosomal RNA", at positions 28 to 507 of the family's 1533-position model. The record is from RNAcentral.